AGCCUGAUGCAGCCAUGCCGCGUGUAUGAAGAAGGCCUUCGGGUUGUAAAGUACUUUCAGCAGUGAGGAAGGUGGAUGUGUUAAUAGCGCAUUCAUUUGACGUUAGCUGCAGAAGAAGCACCGGCUAACUCCGUGCCAGCAGCCGCGGUAAUACGGAGGGUGCGAGCGUUAAUCGGAAUUACUGGGCGUAAAGCGCAUGCAGGUGGUUUGUUAAGUCAGAUGUGAAAGCCCGGGGCUCAACCUCGGAAUUGCAUUUGAAACUGGCAGACUAGAGUACUGUAGAGGGGGGUAGAAUUUCAGGUGUAGCGGUGAAAUGCGUAGAGAUCUGAAGGAAUACCGGUGGCGAAGGCGGCCCCCUGGACAGAUACUGACACUCAGAUGCGAAAGCGUGGGGAGCAAACAGGAUAAGAUACCCUGGUAGUCCACGCCGUAAACGAUGUCUACUUGGAGGUUGUGGCCUUGAGCCGUGGCUUUCGGAGCUAACGCGUUAAGUAGACCGCCUGG
RNAcentral lists this ribosomal RNA (504 nucleotides) under Vibrio sp. 8Bb1S17. RNAcentral's name for it is "bacterial SSU rRNA". It matches the Rfam family "Bacterial small subunit ribosomal RNA", at positions 380 to 876 of the family's 1533-position model. The record is from RNAcentral. Lineage: Bacteria; Pseudomonadati; Pseudomonadota; Gammaproteobacteria; Vibrionales; Vibrionaceae.